RNAcentral lists this ribosomal RNA (468 nucleotides) under uncultured bacterium. RNAcentral describes it as "partial 16S ribosomal RNA". It matches the Rfam family "Bacterial small subunit ribosomal RNA", at positions 28 to 507 of the family's 1533-position model. The record is from RNAcentral.
GACGAACGCUGGCGGCGUGCUUAACACAUGCAAGUCGAACGGAAAGGCCCUGCUUUUGUGGGGUGCUCGAGUGGCGAACGGGUGAGUAACACGUGAGUAACCUGCCCUUGACUUUGGGAUAACUUCAGGAAACUGGGGCUAAUACCGGAUAGGAGCUCCUGCUGCAUGGUGGGGGUUGGAAAGUUUCGGCGGUUGGGGAUGGACUCGCGGCUUAUCAGCUUGCUGGUGGGGUAGUGGCUUACCAAGGCUUUGACGGGUAGCCGGCCUGAGAGGGUGACCGGCCACAUUGGGACUGAGAUACGGCCCAGACUCCUACGGGAGGCAGCAGUGGGGAAUAUUGCACAAUGGGCGGAAGCCUGAUGCAGCAACGCCGCGUGCGGGAUGACGGCCUUCGGGGUGUAAACCGCUUUCGCCUGUGACGAAGCGUGAGUGACGGUAAUGGGUAAAGAAGCACCGGCUAACUACGUG